GGUUCUAUGGUGUAAUGGUUAGCACCUGGGACUCUGAAUCCCAAGAUCCGAGUUCGAGUCUCGGUAGAACCU
Molecule: non-coding RNA, 72 nt
Organism: Nematostella vectensis (starlet sea anemone)
Lineage: Eukaryota; Metazoa; Cnidaria; Anthozoa; Actiniaria; Edwardsiidae
Source: Rfam